GUGGGGAAUUUUGGACAAUGGGGGCAACCCUGAUCCAGCAAUGCCGCGUGCAGGAAGAAGGCCUUCGGGUUGUAAACUGCUUUUGUACGGAACGAAAAGGCUCUGGUUAAUACCUGGGGCACAUGACGGUACCGUAAGAAUAAGCACCGGCUAACUACGUGCCAGCAGCCGCGGUAAUACGUAGGGUGCAAGCGUUAAUCGGAAUUACUGGGCGUAAAGCGUGCGCAGGCGGUGCUGUAAGACAGGCGUGAAAUCGCCGGGCUUAACCUGGGAAUGGCGCUUGUGACUGCAGUGCUGGAGUGUGGCAGAGGGGGAUGGAAUUCCGCGUGUAGCAGUGAAAUGCGUAGAUAUGCGGAGGAACACCGAUGGCGAAGGCAAUCCCCUGGGCCUGCACUGACGCUCAUGCACGAAAGCGUGGGGAGCAACAGGAUUAGAAACCCUAGUAGUCC
RNAcentral lists this ribosomal RNA (449 nucleotides) under uncultured bacterium. RNAcentral's name for it is "partial 16S ribosomal RNA". It matches the Rfam family "Bacterial small subunit ribosomal RNA", at positions 354 to 796 of the family's 1533-position model. The record is from RNAcentral.